CCCAAAAAAAACAAUGGAAAACAAAAUAAACAAGUCGACACUGAACAGGCCAAAGCGACAUCCUCUUUUCCUUUUUCUUUUCUUUUUUCUUUUUCCUUUU
This 100-nucleotide non-coding RNA is filed under the name Mesodinium rubrum. Lineage: Eukaryota; Ciliophora; Litostomatea; Cyclotrichida; Mesodiniidae. The record is from RNAcentral.